RNAcentral lists this ribosomal RNA (451 nucleotides) under uncultured bacterium. RNAcentral describes it as "partial 16S ribosomal RNA". It matches the Rfam family "Bacterial small subunit ribosomal RNA", at positions 28 to 507 of the family's 1533-position model. The record is from RNAcentral.
GAUGAAUGCUGGCGGCGUGCCUAACACAUGCAAGUCGAGCGGCAGCGAGGGGUGCUUGCACCCUGUCGGCGAGCGGCGAACGGCUGAGUAACGCGUAGGAAUUUUCCCCAAAGUGAGGAAUAACUGCCCGAAAGGGUAGCUAAUGCCGCAUAUGGUCUUCGGAUUAAAGGAUUUAUCCGCUUUGGGAGAAGCCUGCGUUGGAUUAGGUUGUUGGUAGGGUAAUGGCCUACCAAGCCGUCGAUCCAUAGCUGGUCUGAGAGGAUGAUCAGCCAGACUGGAACUGAGACACGGUCCAGACUCCUACGGGAGGCAGCAGUGAGGAAUCUUCCACAAUGGGCGAAAGCCUGAUGGAGCAACGCCGCGUGAAGGAUGAAGGCCUUCGGGUUGUAAACUUCUUUUAUGAGUGAAGAAUAUGACGGUAACUCAUGAAUAAGCACCGGCUAACUACGUG